UGGGGAAUAUUGCACAAUGGGCGCAAGCCUGAUGCAGCGACGCCGCGUGGGGGAUGAAGGCCUUCGGGUUGUAAACCCCUUUCAGCAGGGAAGAAGCGAAAGUGACGGUACCUGCAGAAGAAGCGCCGGCUAACUACGUGCCAGCAGCCGCGGUAAUACGUAGGGCGCAAGCGUUGUCCGGAUUUAUUGGGCGUAAAGAGCUCGUAGGUGGUCUGUCGCGUCCGCUGUGAAAACCCGAGGCUCAACCUCGGGCCUGCAGUGGGUACGGGCAGACUAGAGUGCGGUAGGGGAGACUGGAAUUCCUGGUGUAGCGGUGGAAUGCGCAGAUAUCAGGAGGAACACCGAUGGCGAAGGCAGGUCUCUGGGCCGCAACUGACACUGAGGAGCGAAAGCAUGGGGAGCGAACAGG
This 409-nucleotide ribosomal RNA is filed under the name uncultured bacterium. RNAcentral's name for it is "bacterial SSU rRNA". It matches the Rfam family "Bacterial small subunit ribosomal RNA", at positions 355 to 776 of the family's 1533-position model. The record is from RNAcentral.